RNAcentral lists this long non-coding RNA (482 nucleotides) under Pongo abelii (Sumatran orangutan). RNAcentral's name for it is "lincRNA". Lineage: Eukaryota; Metazoa; Chordata; Mammalia; Primates; Hominidae. The record is from RNAcentral.
GAAAGGAGCUGCUCUCCCGCCUACCCGGUGCCCCUCCCCUGACAGCACAAGGGAACCUGGAGGGGUUGCAGGACAGUUCCAGGAAUGGCGCCCUUUCUUCAGAACCAUGGUAUCAUGUCUUGCCUUGGAUCCACCACAAUCGGCUGAAACCAGCAGCCCAGGACCAGUGGACCAGCCAGCAGGACCCAGACCAUCUGACCUGGCUGAUCAUGCAAUGAGACCAUGUUGCCAGUGGAGAUGACAACAGCCCUACUCUGGUUACUCUGGAAGCUGACCCGUCUACGUACGGAGGAAGGUUGAGGAAACAGCAAGCCCUGCUCUAGUCGCACUGGGAGCUGACUAGUCUAUACAUGGCUGAAGCUUGAAGAAUCAUCAUCGGAUGAGUAAAUGUGGCCAGAAAUCUUAAUCUCAGUAAUCUUCUUUGUAUUAUUCAUUAUAUUGCUAUAACCGCCAUGAAAUAAAAUAUUUUAUUUUUCAUCCAC